This 300-nucleotide ribosomal RNA is filed under the name Triticum aestivum (bread wheat). RNAcentral's name for it is "partial small subunit ribosomal RNA". Lineage: Eukaryota; Viridiplantae; Streptophyta; Magnoliopsida; Poales; Poaceae. The record is from RNAcentral.
AUGAGGCUCUUGUGUUGGAACUAUCGCGGUCUAGGAACGGACGCGAUAGUGGGCGAGCUAAAAUGGCUCGUUAGUAAAUAUCAUCCCUCCCUCCUCUUCCUAUCCGAGACGAAGAUGAAGGAUUCAAGAGCUCGGAGUUUCAUGUGGUCUCUGGGAUAUUCAGGUGCUUUUGUAGUCAGCUGUGAGGGUUUGAGUGGCGGGCUUGCUCUCUUUUGGUCAUCAAAUAUCUCGGUGUCAUUGAGAGCAUAUUUGAAGCAAUUGAUCGAUAUUAUAGCUAAGGCAGAAGAUGGUGCUAGUUAG